GAUGAACGCUGGCGGCGUGCCUAAUACAUGCAAGUCGAGCGAACGGACGAGAAGCUUGCUUCUCUGAUGUUAGCGGCGGACGGGUGAGUAACACGUGGAUAACCUACCUAUAAGACUGGGAUAACUUCGGGAAACCGGAGCUAAUACCGGAUGAUAUUUUGAACCGCAUGGUUCAAAAGUGAAAGACGGUCUUGCUGUCACUUAUAGAUGGAUCCGCGCUGCAUUAGCUAGUUGGUAAGGUAACGGCUUACCAAGGCAACGAUGCAUAGCCGAGCUGAGAGGGUGAUCGGCCACACUGGAACUGAGACACGGUCCAGACUCCUACGGGAGGCAGCAGUAGGGAAUCGUCCGCAAUGGGCGAAAGCCUGACGGAGCAACGCCGCGUGAGUGAUGAAGGUCUUCGGAUCGUAAAACUCUGUUAUUAGGGAAGAACAUAUGUGUAAGUAACUGUGCACAUCUUGACGGUACCUAAUCAGAAAGCCACGGCUAACUACGUG
RNAcentral lists this ribosomal RNA (497 nucleotides) under uncultured bacterium. RNAcentral describes it as "partial 16S ribosomal RNA". It matches the Rfam family "Bacterial small subunit ribosomal RNA", at positions 28 to 507 of the family's 1533-position model. The record is from RNAcentral.